AUUGAACGCUGGCGGCAUGCCUUACACAUGCAAGUCGAACGGCAGCACGGGAGCAAUCCUGGUGGCGAGUGGCGAACGGGUGAGUAAUAUAUCGGAACGUGCCCGGUCGUGGGGAUAACGUAGCGAAAGCUACGCUAAUACCGCAUACGAUCUACGGAUGAAAGCGGGGGAUCGCAAGACCUCGCGCGAUUGGAGCGGCCGAUAUCAGAUUAGGUAGUUGGUGAGGUAAGGCUCACCAAGCCGACGAUCUGUAGCUGGUCUGAGAGGACGACCAGCCACACUGGGACUGAGACACGGCCCAGACUCCUACGGGAGGCAGCAGUGGGGAAUUUUGGGACAAUGGGCGCAAGCCUGAUCCAGCAAUGCCGCGUGCAGGAUGAAGGCCUUCGGUUGU
This 394-nucleotide ribosomal RNA is filed under the name uncultured bacterium. Its description in RNAcentral is "bacterial SSU rRNA". It matches the Rfam family "Bacterial small subunit ribosomal RNA", at positions 30 to 426 of the family's 1533-position model. The record is from RNAcentral.